Molecule: long non-coding RNA, 465 nt
Organism: Leucoraja erinaceus (little skate)
Lineage: Eukaryota; Metazoa; Chordata; Chondrichthyes; Rajiformes; Rajidae
Exons: 3
Source: RefSeq, a predicted model, not a curated record
UUGAGAGGGAGAGAUAGAUCAGCCGUGACUGAGUGUUUUGCUCAAGAUCCCAGCAUCUGCGUUAAGGGAACUUGUCUCUCACGGGUUAAUUAAAACUUCUAUUUCAGGAUCUUUGAGGAAGUACGCUGCAGUUCUGGUUGCUCCAUUAUAGGAAGGAUGUGGAGGCUUUUGUGAGGGUGCAGAGGAGGUCAGCGGGCAUUAGCAACAGGCGGAAGGUAGAGGAACGUGGAGCGCCGGAGGCUGAGGGAGACCUGAUAAAACUGCUGCCCAGACCUUCCAUAGGAUGUCAGAGGCGAGUGAGUUGGUGGGGGGUGAUGGCAAAACCCAGCGGCACAGUCACCGGCUGCUGGACCUGUGCGUGGUGGCUGGGCUGGGGCCCACCCGUCUGGAGAUGCUGCUGAAGGAUCUGCAGCAGAACGUGAUGAUGCCGACACCGUCUCUCUCGGAGCUGUUGUCCGUCCACGC